This 235-nucleotide ribosomal RNA is filed under the name uncultured Staphylococcus sp. RNAcentral describes it as "partial 16S ribosomal RNA". It matches the Rfam family "Bacterial small subunit ribosomal RNA", at positions 105 to 334 of the family's 1533-position model. Lineage: Bacteria; Bacillati; Bacillota; Bacilli; Caryophanales; Staphylococcaceae. The record is from RNAcentral.
GGUGAGUAACACGUGGGUAACCUACCUAUAAGACUGGGAUAACUUCGGGAAACCGGAGCUAAUACCGGAUAAUAUAUUGAACCGCAUGGUUCAAUAGUGAAAGACGGUUUUGCUGUCACUUAUAGAUGGAUCCGCGCCGCAUUAGCUAGUUGGUAAGGUAACGGCUUACCAAGGCAACGAUGCGUAGCCGACCUGAGAGGGUGAUCGGCCACACUGGAACUGAGACACGGUCCAG